RNAcentral lists this ribosomal RNA (253 nucleotides) under uncultured bacterium. Its description in RNAcentral is "partial 16S ribosomal RNA". It matches the Rfam family "Bacterial small subunit ribosomal RNA", at positions 524 to 776 of the family's 1533-position model. The record is from RNAcentral.
UACGUAGGGUGCGAGCGUUAAUCGGAAUUACUGGGCGUAAAGAGUAUGUAGGCGGUUGCGUAAGUUCGGUGUGAAAUCUCCCGGCUUAACUGGGAGGGUGCGCCGAAAACUGCGUGGCUUGAGUGCGGGAGAGGAGAGCGGAAUUCCUGGUGUAGCGGUGAAAUGCGUAGAUAUCAGGAGGAACACCGGCGGUGUAGACGGCUCUCUGGACCGUAACUGACGCUGAGAUACGAAAGCGUGGGUAGCAAACAGG